This 292-nucleotide ribosomal RNA is filed under the name uncultured bacterium. RNAcentral describes it as "partial 16S ribosomal RNA". It matches the Rfam family "Bacterial small subunit ribosomal RNA", at positions 505 to 796 of the family's 1533-position model. The record is from RNAcentral.
GUGUCAGCAGCCGCGGUAAGACGGGGGGUCCUAGCGUUGUUCGGAAUUAUUGGGCGUAAAGCGUGUGCAGGUUGUUUGAAAAGUUGGAUGUGAAAUCCCUGGGCUUAACCCAGGACGUGCGUUCAAAACUGUCAAACUUGAGUAUGGAAGAGGAUCGUGGAAUUCCUAGUGUAGUGGUGAAAUACGUAGAUAUUAGGAGGAACACCGGUGGCGAAGGCGGCGAUCUGGUCCAAUACUGACACUCAUACACGAAAGCGUGGGGAUCAAACAGGAUUAGAUACCCUGGUAGUCC